AUUGAACGCUGGCGGCAGGCUUAACACAUGCAAGUCGAGCGAGCGGCGGACGGGUGAGUAAUGUCUGGGAAACUGCCUGAUGGAGGGGGAUAACUACUGGAAACGGUAGCUAAUACCGCAUACCAUCAGAUGUGCCCAGAUGGGAUUGGCUAGUAGGUGGGGUAAUGGCUCACCUAGGCGACGAUCCCUAGCUGGUCUGAGGGGAUGCCCAGCCACACGGGAACUGAGACACGGGCCAGACUCCUACGUGAGGCAGCAGUGGGGAAUAUUGCACAAUGGGCGCAAGCCGGAUGCAGCCAUGCCGCGUGGGUGAAGAAGGCCUUCGGGUUGUAAAGCACGUUCAGCGAGGAGGCGUUACCCGCAGAAGAAGCACCGGCUAACUCCGUGCCAGCCGCCGCGGUAAUAC
RNAcentral lists this ribosomal RNA (406 nucleotides) under uncultured bacterium. Its description in RNAcentral is "partial 16S ribosomal RNA". It matches the Rfam family "Bacterial small subunit ribosomal RNA", at positions 29 to 526 of the family's 1533-position model. The record is from RNAcentral.